ACGGAUCCUGGCCGGGCUAUUCAAUAAAGGGAGAGAUUAUACGAAUCCUGGCCGGGCUAUUCAAUAAAGGGAGAGAUUAUACGAAUCCUGGCCGGGCUAUUCACUAAAGGGAGAGAUUAUACGAAUCCUGGCCGGGCUAUUCACUAAAGGGAGAGAUUAUACGGAUCCUGGCCGGGCUAUUCACUAAAGGGAGAGAUUAUACGGAUCCUGGCCCGGCUAUUCACUAAACGGAGAGAUUAUACGAAUCCUGGCCGGGCUAUUCACUAAAAAGGGAGAGAUUAUACGAAUCCUGGCCGGGCUAUUCACUGAAGGGAGAGAUUAUACGAAUCCUGGCCGGGCUAUUCACUAAAGGGAGAGAUUAUACGAAUCCUGGCCGGGCUAUUCACUAAAGGGAGAGAUUAUACGAAUCCUGGCCGGGCUAUUCACUAAAGUGAGAGAUUAUACGAAUCCUGGCCAACUAUUCACUAAAGGGAGAGAUUAUACGAAUCCUGGCCAACUAUUCACUAAAGGGAGAUGUUAAGACACCUCUAGUGUCUUUAAGCCAAAC
This 547-nucleotide long non-coding RNA is filed under the name Pelobates cultripes (western spadefoot toad). The record is from RNAcentral. Lineage: Eukaryota; Metazoa; Chordata; Amphibia; Anura; Pelobatidae.